GGUUAAGUGACUAAGCGUACACGGUGGAUGCCUUGGCAGUCAGAGGCGAUGAAGGACGUAUUAACUUGCGAUAAGCCCAGAUUAGGUAGUAAAAACCAUUUGAGUCUGGGAUUUCCGAAUGGGGAAACCCACUAGCAUAAGCUAGUAUCGCUGCGUGAAUACAUAGCGCAGCGAGGCGAACCGGGGGAACUGAAACAUCUAAGUACCCCGAGGAAAAGAAAUCAACCGAGAUUCCGAAAGUAGCGGCGAGCGAAAUUGGACUAGCCCUUAAGCUUUUUAUGCGUCAGGUGAAACUUCUGGAAAGUUGUGCGAUACAGGGUGAUAGCCCCGUAACCUAAGCAACGCAUUUAAAGUGAAAUCGAGUAGGGCGGGACACGUGAUAUCCUGUCUGAAUAUGGGGGGACCAUCCUCCAAGGCUAAAUACUACUGACUGACCGAUAGUGAACCAGUACCGUGAGGGAAAGGCGAAAAGAACCCCUGUGAGGGGAGUGAAAUAGAACCUGAAACCGUGUACGUACAAGCAGUAGGAGCACCUUCGUGGUGUGACUGCGUACCUUUUGUAUAAUGGGUCAGCGACUUAUAUUCAGUGGCAAGGUUAACCAUCUAGGGGAGCCGUAGGGAAACCGAGUCUUAACUGGGCGUUCAGUCUCUGGAUAUAGACCCGAAACCAAGGUGAUCUAGCCAUGGGCAGGUUGAAGGUUGAGUAACAUCAACUGGAGGACCGAACCGACUAAUGUUGAAAAAUUAGCGGAUGACUUGUGGCUAGGGGUGAAAUAGUCAAUCAAACCUGGAGAUAGCUGGUUCUCCCCGAAAGCUAUUUAGGUAGCGCCUCGGACGAAUACUACUGGGGGUAGAGCACUGUUAAGGCUAGGGGGUCAUCCCGACUUACCAACCCUUUGCAAACUCCGAAUACCAGUAAGUACUAUCCGGGAGACACACGGCGGGUGCUAACGUCCGUCGUGGAGAGGGAAACAACCCAGACCGCCAGCUAAGGUCCCAAAUUACUACUAAGUGGGAAACGAUGUGGGAAGGCUCAGACGAAGCCAGGAUGUUGGCUUAGAAGCAGCCAUCAUUUAAAGAAAGCGUAAUAGCUCACUGGUCGAGUCGGUACUGCGCGGAAGAUGUAACGGGGCUAAGUAGUAAACCGAAGCUGCGGCAAUGCACUUUAGUGCAUUGGGUAGGGGAGCGUUCUGUAAGCGGUUGAAGGUGUGUGGUAACGCAUGCUGGACGUAUCAGAAGUGCGAAUGCUGACAUGAGUAACGAUAAAGGGGGUGAAAAACCUCCUCGCCGGAAGACCAAGGGUUCCUGUCCAACGUUAAUCGGGGCAGGGUAAGUCGACCCCUAAGGCGAGAGUAGAAAGGCGUAGUCGAUGGGAAACGGGUUAAUAUUCCCGUACUUCUUACAAUUGCGAUGGGGGGGACGGAGAAGGCUAGGUGGUACUUGGCGACGGUUGUCCAGGUUCAAGUGCGUAGGCUUAAGAGUUAGGUAAAUCCGGCUCUUUCUAAGGCUGAGACACGACGUCGAGCUACUACGGUAGUGAAGUCAUUGAUGCCAUGCUUAGGAAAAGCCUCUAAGCUUCAGAUUGUAAGGAAUCGUACCCCAAACCGACACAGGUGGUCGGGUAGAGAAUACCAAGGCGCUUGAGAGAACUCGGGUGAAGGAACUAGGCAAAAUGGUACCGUAACUUCGGGAGAAGGUACGCUCUCGACGGUGAAGUCCCUUGCGGAUGGAGCUAUUGAGAGUCGCAGAUACCAGGUGGCUGCAACUGUUUAUUAAAAACACAGCACUGUGCAAAAUCGUAAGAUGACGUAUACGGUGUGACGCCUGCCCGGUGCCGGAAGGUUAAUUGAUGGGGUUAGACUUCGGUCGAAGCUCUUGAUCGAAGCCCCGGUAAACGGCGGUACGUAACUAUAACGGUCCUAAGGUAGCGAAAUUCCUUGUCGGGUAAGUUCCGACCUGCACGAAUGGCGUAAUGAUAGUACGCUGUCUCCACCCGAGACUCAGUGAAAUUGAAAUCGCUGUGAAGAUGCAGUGUACCCGCGGCUAGACGGAAAGACCCCGUGAACCUUUACUACAGCUUGGCACUGAACAUUGACCCUACAUGUGUAGGAUAGGUGGGAGGCUUUGAAGCACAGUCGCUAGAUUGUGUGGAGCCGUCCUUGAAAUACCACCCUUGUAGUGUUGAUGUUCUAACGUUGACCCCUAAUCGGGGUUGCGGACAGUGCCUUAGUGGGUAGUUUGACUGGGGCGGUCUCCUCCCAAAGCGUAACGGAGGAGCACGAAGGUGGGCUAAUCACGGUUGGACAUCGUGAGGUUAGUGCAAUGGCAUAAGCCCGCUUGACUGCGAGAAUGACGGUUCGAGCAGGUGCGAAAGCAGGUCAUAGUGAUCCGGUGGUUCUGAAUGGAAGGUACCAUCGCUCAACGGAUAAAAGGUACUCCGGGGAUAACAGGCUGAUACCGCCCAAGAGUUCAUAUCGACGGCGGUGUUUGGCACCUCGAUGUCGGCUCAUCACAUCCUGGGGCUGAAGUCGGUCCCAAGGGUAUGGCUGUUCGCCAUUUAAAGUGGUACGCGAGCUGGGUUUAGAACGUCGUGAGACAGUUCGGUCCCUAUCUGCCGUGGGCGUUGGAAGAUUGAAGGGGGCUGCUCCUAGUACGAGAGGACCGGAGUGGACGAACCUCUGGUGUUCGGGUUGUGUCGCCAGACGCAUUGCCCGGUAGCUAAGUUCGGAAUCGAUAACCGCUGAAAGCAUCUAAGCGGGAAGCGAGCCCUGAGAUGAGUCUUCCCUGAUACUUUAAGUAUCCUAAAGGGUUGUUCGAGACUAGAACGUUGAUAGGCAGGGUGUGUAAGCGUUGUGAGGCGUUGAGCUAACCUGUACUAAUUGCCCGUGAGGCUUAACCAU
RNAcentral lists this ribosomal RNA (2900 nucleotides) under Vibrio harveyi. RNAcentral's name for it is "23S ribosomal RNA". It matches the Rfam family "Bacterial large subunit ribosomal RNA". The record is from RNAcentral. Lineage: Bacteria; Pseudomonadati; Pseudomonadota; Gammaproteobacteria; Vibrionales; Vibrionaceae.